Malania oleifera is the source of this 489-nucleotide long non-coding RNA. RefSeq lists it as uncharacterized. NCBI's taxonomy places the organism in Eukaryota, Viridiplantae, Streptophyta, Magnoliopsida, Santalales, Ximeniaceae. The record is from RefSeq and is a predicted model, not a curated record. The transcript has 2 exons.
CGGAAAACGAGAAAAAACUGAGGAUUGGGAGGAGGGAAAGGGCAAGCAACGAACUGGGUGACGACGAGGGCUGUUUAUGCACAAGGCUCUGAUACCAACUUGAAAAUCAGAGUAUUGACGAUUCUAAUGAUUGUUUGGAUCGUUGGCUAAGCAAGGGGAUAUUGCUUAGAGAGGCGGGCUCUAUCCUAGUUAAGGAGUGACCGAAUGAGGGGACAUCUUUUAGAGAAGGCGAGCUCUAGCCUUAACUAAGGAGUGUUGUAAAGGUUUGUUCCGCUAGUUAAAGGAACAGGUUUAGUGAAUCCUUUGGUGGUUUGCCAAAGGCAAGGACGUAGGCUGGGUAUAAGCCAAACCUCGUAAAAUUCUCCAUCUCACUCUCUCUUUCCCUAUUCUUUAUUUUCAGUACAUGUUUAAAUUACGUGGAUGGAUUAAAUUUAAAAUCAUAUAAACUACGUGAAUUUGGAAAUCAAGUAAAUCUUAAAGUUUGAUUUU